This is a long non-coding RNA of Scleropages formosus (Asian bonytongue), 1737 nucleotides long. Lineage: Eukaryota; Metazoa; Chordata; Actinopteri; Osteoglossiformes; Osteoglossidae. The record is from Ensembl.
AAGCGAUUCUUCAUGUAAAUACUGCUAUAUUAUGAUUAUGACAUAUUAUGAUUUCACAGGAAAGAAGAGGAAGCGGUCGGUCGAGCUGGGGCAUACCCCUCAUCACAGAAAGAAGGAGGCCCUUUACACCCCCCAGCAACACCACCUCUCUCCCAUAUCUCAGAUUUGAUUUUCUGCACCAAAAACUGACCAAGAAGUCCAGCAAACUCACGUUUACAAUAAAACAAUUCAUCAGCGAACACAGCUCCCAGUCCCAUAAAGAUGGCACCUGGCCUUCAGACCACUGCUUCUGCAGACUACGGUUCCACAAGGACCCACAAGCGUUUGAAAUGCUGAGAUUUCUACAUUAUUUGCAUUCAAACAGGCGACAGGGUCGAGGGUUCCCCGUACUGGUAAGUGAUCCGUGCACGUGCCGUGCCCGUGCUCGCGCCGAUCCCGUUUUUUGCGUUUGUUUGUUUUUUUUUUUUUUUUUUCUCCCAGUGUGUGUGUGUGUGUGUGUGUGUGUGUGUGUGUUUAAACGUUCUGCAUGUUCUCCUGCAUGUGUUGGGCUCGGCUCCUGCUUGUCCGUAUGCUGCAUAUGCUGCUACAAUGUCCUGUCACCAUUAAAGUCGUGUGUGCACCCCCACUUUGAAAAAGGAUCCGCAUGUGUGUGUUCAAUUCGGACUCAUCGUUUUAAUGCCCAUUGUUUUAAGAAAAGCAGCUUUUCUUUGCAGAUGGGGAAUCUCCCUGAUGUUUAACAUUCAAAUUCAUCGCGACUGCGAACUCCUUUGUCCGUGGGCGCUGUUGAGUCUCUUUUUUUUUUUGUUUUUUUUUUUUUUUCCCCGUGUUUUUCCUUCUUGCGAGAAUCUCGAGCUCGCGCGCGUGGAAUUCCCCCUCGGAUGAAGGAGUGAGAAUCGAGGAUUCGACUUGUUCGCCCUCCGAAAAUAAUGUCGACACAGAGAGCGACUGCGGUGGAGGAAAAGAAAAGAAAAGGAAAGGAAAGGAAAGGAAAGAAAAGGGAAAGACGCGAAGGAGGAGGACGGAGAGGAGAGGCGAGGCGAGGCGAGGCGAGCGGAGCAGGACAGGCGCUCUGCGGACCGGCGGGGAAACCCGGGCGCUAUCCAGCCGACGUGGUGCUGAAAAUAGAUGGAACCGAGGCAGGGGGGUGGGGGUGUUCCGCGGUCCGCGUUCCCGCAACUGGAUCUCCGUGCAUUAGGAAAGCACCACAUUUACGCGCAAAAAAAAAAGAAAAAUGGGAAAAAAAAAGAAAACUAAAAAAAGGCCCUGCUGCUCCAAUGAGACGUGAAAAGGGGAGCCGGAGCCGUCCGGCAGAGGAGACCUUAGGACCCCCCCACCCCCCCCCCCAACCCCAAUAACAGUAAAGGAAAGGGGGCUCGUAGACACACGGCGUCCCAGCCGAGCAGCGUUCCCGCCCGCGUCGUUUGAACCCUUUACCUGAUGAUGUGAACGCGCACACGAGGAGGCUAUAGGCGGCUCGAGUCCGAUCGCUCUUCCGCCCACGUCACCCGCGUCCUUUCUCUACGAUUUUACCAACUGAUUGAUUCGUUUUUCUUCGCGUGCCCCAGUUCCUUUCGUGUCGUGGCCAUAAUCACUUCGGCUAAGUCCACCAGACACACACACACGCACACGCACACACACUGGUGGAGGGAGUGCAGUGGUGAUGACCUGCUCAUCUUUCAUUUAGGGAUGUAGUGACUACUGUUUUCUGCAUGAGAUGAGGAUGACCAUGGAACCGAA